Molecule: ribosomal RNA, 623 nt
Filed under: Amanita muscaria (fly agaric)
Lineage: Eukaryota; Fungi; Basidiomycota; Agaricomycetes; Agaricales; Amanitaceae
Also listed under: 1 other name
Description: LSU rRNA
Rfam family: Eukaryotic large subunit ribosomal RNA
Source: RNAcentral
AAAGAAACUAACAAGGAUUCCCUUAGUAACUGCGAGUGAAGAGGGAAGAGCUCAAAUUUAAAAUCUGGCAGUGUUUUGCUGUCCGAGUUGUAAUCUAGAGAAGUGCUGCCCGUGCUGGACCAUGUACAAGUCUCCUGGAAUGGAGCGUCACAGAGGGUGAGAAUCCCGUCUUUGACAUGGACUACCAGUGCAUUUGUGGUGUGCUCUCAAAGAGUCGAGUUGUUUGGGAAUGCAGCUCUAAAUGGGUGGUAAACUCCAUCUAAAGCUAAAUAUUGGCGAGAGACCGAUAGCGAACAAGUACCGUGAGGGAAAGAUGAAAAGAACUUUGGAAAGAGAGUUAAACAGUAUGUGAAAUUGUUGAAAGGGAAACGCUUAAAGUCAGUCGUGUCGGCCAGGGAUCAACUCAGCUUUCUCUGCUGGGUGUACUUCCUGAUCUGAUGGGCCAACAUCAGUUUUGACUGCUGGAGAAGGACAGAGGGAAUGUGGCACCUUCGGGUGUGUUAUAGCUCUCUGUCAGAUGCAGUGGUUGGGACUGAGGAUUGCAGCAUGCCGCAAGGCCGGGUCGUUUCGACCACGUUCAUGCUGAGGAUGUUGGCAUAAUGGCUUUAAUCGACCCGUCUUGA